GACGAACGCUGGCGGCGUGCUUAACACAUGCAAGUCGAACGGAAAGGCCCUGCUUUUGUGGGGUGCUCGAGUGGCGAACGGGUGAGUAACACGUGAGUAACCUGCCCUUGACUUUGGGAUAACUUCAGGAAACUGGGGCUAAUACCGGAUAGGAGCUCCUGCUGCAUGGUGGGGGUUGGAAAGUUUCGGCGGUUGGGGAUGGACUCGCGGCUUAUCAGCUUGUUGGUUGGGUAGUGGCUUACCAAGGCUUUGACGGGUAGCCGGCCUGAGAGGGUGACCGGCCACAUUGGGACUGAGAUACGGCCCAGACUCCUACGGGAGGCAGCAGUGGGGAAUAUUGCACAAUGGGCGGAAGCCUGAUGCAGCAACGCCGCGUGCGGGAUGACGGCCUUCGGGUUGUAAACCGCUUUCGCCUGUGACGAAGCGUGAGUGACGGUAAUGGGUAAAGAAGCACCGGCUAACUACGUG
RNAcentral lists this ribosomal RNA (468 nucleotides) under uncultured bacterium. RNAcentral's name for it is "partial 16S ribosomal RNA". It matches the Rfam family "Bacterial small subunit ribosomal RNA", at positions 28 to 507 of the family's 1533-position model. The record is from RNAcentral.